GGCCUCUUGUUGAAAUUGGUAUACAAGCCUGACUCAAAAUCAGGUGCCCCUAAAGCAUAUCGGUUCAAGUCCGAUAGAGGCCA
RNAcentral lists this transfer RNA (83 nucleotides) under Junco hyemalis (dark-eyed junco). It matches the Rfam family "tRNA". Rfam says of the family: Transfer RNA (tRNA) molecules are approximately 80 nucleotides in length. Their secondary structure includes four short double-helical elements and three loops (D, anti-codon, and T loops). Further hydrogen bonds mediate the characteristic L-shaped molecular structure. tRNAs have two regions of fundamental functional importance: the anti-codon, which is responsible for specific mRNA codon recognition, and the 3' end, to which the tRNAs corresponding amino acid is attached (by aminoacyl-tRNA synthetases). tRNAs cope with the degeneracy of the genetic code in two manners: having more than one tRNA (with a specific anti-codon) for a particular amino acid; and 'wobble' base-pairing, i.e. permitting non-standard base-pairing at the 3rd anti-codon position. Lineage: Eukaryota; Metazoa; Chordata; Aves; Passeriformes; Passerellidae. The record is from Rfam by way of RNAcentral.